This 1163-nucleotide long non-coding RNA is filed under the name Ananas comosus (pineapple). RNAcentral describes it as "long non-coding RNA (ACOM_LNC002552)". The record is from RNAcentral. Lineage: Eukaryota; Viridiplantae; Streptophyta; Magnoliopsida; Poales; Bromeliaceae.
GCAUGGACCUCUCUCUCACCCUCUUUCGUUAUAUAUGCCUAUAGAGUUGAGCUAGAAUGGUAUCAGUAACAAAUGGAUUUCGAUGUCACCCAUUUGUUUACGUUGACGGUUGAAUAUGAUCUAUACUACUUGAAACAUUAAAAAACCGAAUUUCAAAUCUUUUUGACAUCAUUAGCUUAAUGAUCGAAAGGUUUCGAAAUUUGUAAUUAUAAUGGUUAAUAUGAGAUGUUUUCUCAUUUAACAGCGUAAAGAUAUCAAAAUCAAUUGAAUUUUAGUUAAAAAGUUUUUUAAACUAUUUACAACAAGAUUUACACUCUUCAUCUUAAUUACAAGACUUCUAUCAUCACUUUUUAAAGAAUAUUCAUUUUCAACCAUUCAUUUUUGUGUCUACUUAAUGGAUAAGAAAAUAAUAUAAAAAAAACAUAAAAUUUAAUUUUUAAAUGCUUCAAACGGUAUAGAUCAUAUUAAUGGUGUCGAUUGUCAAUUUCGGCGCUCCAUCAUCGAAAACAAAUAGGUGGCAGCGGAGCUCGACUCCAUAUCUAUAUAUAAUUUUAUUUUCAUAUUAAUAUACUAUUAUAUAAUAUAUUAUUUAUAAAUAUUAUAUAAUAGGAGUUCGACUGCUAUACUUAAUAUAUACUCCUUUAUACUCAAAAGUUUUGGGCCAUUAGAUUUAUCUUUUCACUAUUUCCGCUCUAAUACUAUUCAACCAACCACCAACUCAACCCUAGAAGACCACUAUCCUCCUAGCCGGAUAUCACUAUCAUCCUAAUCACAUAUCCCUUCAUCCAAGGGUUGAAAAUUUAUAAGUAUAAAGGUGUCCACAUAUCCCUUUAUCCAAAGACCAAAGGCUGAAAACUUAUGAGUAUAAAAGUGUCUAUACUCGUAGACAACGUUUGGUUCAGAAACAGGAGCCUUUGUUCCCCUAUUUGUUAUCAAAGAUAAAUAUUCGUAUCCGAAAAUAGUAAUUCUCGAAUUCCUGAAAUUUCUCCCCUUUGUUCCCAAAUAUAAAUAUUUGUAUUCAAAAACAGUAAUUUUCAGAUCCUUGGAAUAAGCUCGAUCUGUUGUUCCAUUCUUUUUCCUGAACAAGCUUGUUUCCAGGCAGGAACAAGUUUAAUUAAAGUCUAAAUUUAAUUACGAUAUUAAAUUAUUAAUUAAUCUAAUUA